This 1091-nucleotide long non-coding RNA is filed under the name Suricata suricatta (meerkat). RNAcentral describes it as "lncRNA (ENSSSUG00005022739.1)". The record is from RNAcentral. Lineage: Eukaryota; Metazoa; Chordata; Mammalia; Carnivora; Herpestidae.
AUGCAGGGGGAGGCUGGCCCGAGGCCACGUGCCCGUAGGGAAGACUGUAAGCCAGAGACGGGGCGCAGGGGCGGGGGGCCAGGGCUGCUCGGACCCCCCCAGGGCCGGGCACUCACUAUUCCCUACUGCACCCCUGGCACUGGGCGGGCCCCUCCUCAGGGUGCUGGCACCGCCCGGCAGUCCGUCCUCAGUGAGCAGCGGCUCACUGAAUGCUCGCGUGAUGUUUGUGUAUUACUGUCCUCCCCCUACUUGUUUUCUACGUCCCUGAAGCCUUCCAGGUGGGGGGAGCGGGGUGACGGCACAGCCCUGGGUAAAGCGCAGAUGCCCAAAGCGACCGUGUCCUGUUCUUGAAUCGACUAUAGUUGCCCCCGUGGCCAGGCUCUCCUGGGCCCAGGACCUUUGCACGUACUGCUUCUGGAGCAGCAACGUUCUUCCUGUGGAGUCAAUCCCGCGACAGGCGCCAGCUCCAGGGUCCCUGUGACAUCCCUCCUGGCUAGAUCAGGUGUCCCUCCUUUGUGCCCCCUUCCCUGGUCCCUCUUCCUGUCUUGUAACCACCUGCCUGCUCGUCAGCAAGGGUGCUGCCCCUCCCCCAUCCUUUCACUCCCGACUCCCGACUCCCGAGGAGACUGCGGAUCCGUGAGGGCGGGACCGGAGCCCGGGUCUCGUGUCUGCUCCCCGCGGCGCUGCGACACGGAGCACCCGCCCUCACCUCCUUACCCCACGUCAGCGUCGGAGCGCCUGCCUGAGCCGGGCGGGGCCUCACAGAGCCGCGAGAGCAGGGCGUGUCUGCAUGUGUGUGCACAUGUGCGUGCGUGUGUGUGUGUGUGUGUGGCGUGUAUUUAAACCUGUACGUGCAGACAAAUGCGUGUGUGACAGGCAUGUCCACGCGGCGUGCAAACACUUGGCGUGUGUGUGGCGUCCUCCUGUGGGUGGCGGGAUCCCCGAGCCCCCGAGCCGGUCAGAUGCUCCCAUCAAGUCCGGUCACCCCUGCCUGCCUUCCAGCCACUCCCAGGGAAGGAGGCGGCAUUUCCCCCGAGGCUCUGCUGAUUUUAAAGAAAACGGGGGAGUGAUCUGGGUGCCUGGGGGCUCAG